GACGAACGCUGGCGGCGUGCUUAACACAUGCAAGUCGAACGGAAAGGCCCUGCUUUUGUGGGGUGCUCGAGUGGCGAACGGGUGAGUAACACGUGAGUAACCUGCCCUUGACUUUGGGAUAACUUCAGGAAACUGGGGCUAAUACCGGAUAGGAGCUCCUGCUGCAUGGUGGGAGUUGGAAAGUUUCGGCGGUUGGGGAUGGACUCGCGGCUUAUCAGCUUGUUGGUGGGGUAGUGGCUUACCAAGGCUUUGACGGGUAGCCGGCCUGAGAGGGUGACCGGCCACAUUGGGACUGAGAUACGGCCCAGACUCCUACGGGAGGCAGCAGUGGGGAAUAUUGCACAAUGGGCGGAAGCCUGAUGCAGCAACGCCGCGUGCGGGAUGACGGCCUUCGGGUUGUAAACCGCUUUCGCCUGUGACGAAGCGUGAGUGACGGUAAUGGGUAAAGAAGCACCGGCUAACUACGUGCCAGCAGCCGCGGUGAUACGUAGGGUGCGAGCGUUGUCCGGAUUUAUUGGGCGUAAAGGGCUCGUAGGUGGUUGAUCGCGUCGGAAGUGUAAUCUUGGGGCUUAACCCUGAGCGUGCUUUCGAUACGGGUUGACUUGAGGAAGGUAGGGGAGAAUGGAAUUCCUGGUGGAGCGGUGGAAUGCGCAGAUAUCAGGAGGAACACCAGUGGCGAAGGCGGUUCUCUGGGCCUUUCCUGACGCUGAGGAGCGAAAGCGUGGGGAGCGAACAGGCUUAGAUACCCUGGUAGUCCACGCUGUAAACGGUGGGUACUAGGUGUGGGGUCCAUUCCACGGGUUCCGUGCCGUAGCUAACGCUUUAAGUACCCCGCCUGGGGAGUACGGCCGCAAGGCUAAAACUCAAAGGAAUUGACGGGGCCCCGCACAAGCGGCGGAGCAUGCGGAUUAAUUCGAUGCAACGCGUAGAACCUUACCUGGGUUUGACAUGGAUCGGGAGUGCUCAGAGAUGGGUGUGCCUCUUUUGGGGUCGGUUCACAGGUGGUGCAUGGCUGUCGUCAGCUCGUGUCGUGAGAUGUUGGGUUAAGUCCCGCAACGAGCGCAACCCUUGUUCACUGUUGCCAGCACGUUAUGGUGGGGACUCAGUGGAGACCGCCGGGGUCAACUCGGAGGAAGGUGGGGAUGACGUCAAGUCAUCAUGCCCCUUAUGUCCAGGGCUUCACGCAUGCUACAAUGGCUGGUACAGAGAGUGGCGAGCCUGUGAGGGUGAGCGAAUCUCGGAAAGCCGGUCUCAGUUCGGAUUGGGGUCUGCAACUCGACCUCAUGAAGUCGGAGCCGCUAGUAAUCGCAGAUCAGCAACGCUGCGGUGAAUACGUUCCCGGGGCU
RNAcentral lists this ribosomal RNA (1346 nucleotides) under uncultured bacterium. Its description in RNAcentral is "partial 16S ribosomal RNA". It matches the Rfam family "Bacterial small subunit ribosomal RNA", at positions 28 to 1381 of the family's 1533-position model. The record is from RNAcentral.